AAAAGGCUAAGAAAGUGUUCAAGAUGAGAAACCUAACACAAAUAUCUGGUAAAAACUUAAUCUUUGAUAAUAAUUAUCUGUUUCAAAUAUUCCUACUAGAUGAUACAAAUACAAAUCUUCAGGUUGUGGACCAUCAGAAGAAGCUGAAGGGGUAGAGCAGCACCGACCUCAGAAAUUGUUGCUAUGCUAUCUGCCUAUCUGGUCUGGCAGAUACAGAAAAGAUUUCAGCUUUAAAUUCUUUAUCCCACAAAAAUUUCAACACUUCUCUCAAUUCAUUGACCAUACUCAGAGUACCAACAAAAAGACAAACUUUUAGAAAAAAAAUCAAAAUUAUAGAGCCAUAGAAAGAAGAAAAGUGGAGAUGUAGAACAAUUCAGACAUUGUUGCUAUGCUGUCUUGUUCUGCACAAACAAUAAAAAAUCUCAACUUUAACCUCUUUAUUCAUUAAAAUUUAAAAACCAUUCCAAGAUCCAAGUUUUCUCAAAUACUACUAUUAAAUAUAACUAACACUCAAACUCACUUGCAUAUAGACAUAUAUUAUAUAGAAUUCUUGUACUCAGUUGUUUUUGAAUCAUAAAAUACUGAAAACACAUAGGAGGGUGAUUUAACAGGCUUACCCGCCUUCGUUCCAAAUUCUGGGUUCGAUUGGAAAAAAACAUAAAUACAAAAAAGUGCUUAAAAGACUUACAUUUUUUUUCCUGUGUCUAUCACCACCACCUCCAGUUGCACUGCUCUGUCCACUAGCCAAAUCCAAGGUCCCUUUAGAAUUCAAAUUCGCCGGCUGAAAGUCAUGCUUAUCCGGCACACCUCCGGUGACCGACGCCCCCACCUGCCACACCUGAUUCAGCUUCCCCAUCUCCGGCAACGCCAGCGUGGCAAAAAUCUUGAAAACCCCAUCAGAAAACUCACCGCUCUUCUGGGUCACCUCAAAGCUCAACUUAGACUCGGCAAUUGGGCCAUAAGAAGUGAUAUUGUAGGUCUUGACAGCCACUGACCCAUCUGGGUUCUUGAAGCCAAUGAGAGCCUGUGAGCCGACCAUUCCGGUUGCUGUUGGGUUGAUGGCCCAGGCCACCCAGCCGUCGGGCUUGGGCGGCGUUGCAACAAAGGCUAUUGAGAGAGAUGAUUUGGUAGCGUCAUAAGUGUAGUGGAGGUAGGAGUUUAACUGGGGGAGAUCAUUGCAGUGCUGGUAGAUUUUGUUGUUGGUGAAUUUUUGGGAAGUGCAGGUGAGUGAUUGUGAGGGCGAAAGUAAUGAGAGAGAGAAAAGCAGGAGAAUGGAGAGCUGUGUAAGCGCCAUGAAUGGGAGUGAGAGAGAGAGAGAGAGAGAGAGAGAGAGAGAUGGGGGUAAAAAAAGCGUGUAGUUGAAGAGAGUCUUCUUCUUUUGACGAUGAUGAUGAUAUUUUAUGUAGGAGGCAUGUUGGAAAGAUAAUGGUGUUCGAGGACCAGUUAAAGCACAAUGUUUGCGAGUGUUCUGUAUUAUAUAGGAGCAGUAUAUAUUAUUUUUCUUGUAAUUUUGGAAUAUAAAAUUGGGUGUUUUAUUUUGCCAAAAUAAAAUUCGUUAGCUGAUUGGUAGUAAUUGAAUAUCGCGGUCCGUAUCGAAGAUGGGAACGUACGUACAAGUAGGGUAAUGUGGGAAAGCAAGGUGUGAAUGGGGGUGAAAUAUGUAAAGCUGAGAAGAAUUUGGUGGGUUUCCAAUUUCCAUAAAGACAUCAAGGUGUGGGUUGUCAAAACAGAGAGCAAACAUGGUAAAUUUUACAACUUUAUGGAAAUCAAUUGAUGGAUGGGCGACUUGCUUUAUUCAAUUUCAACCCUUUUUUCUUAGAGAUCGUGGCGCCUGAGAGAUGGGUACAUCCUUCGGGUUGAACGGGUUUGACGGAAUUUAUUAACCCAAUCUGAAUUUCAACUCAACCCAAAUCGUAUAAAUUUAUAACCCAAACCAAUUGUAGUAUUUCGGUUUAGUUGGAUUAAUAAAUGGGUUAAUUAUCAAGUUGGUCACUGAAGUGGGUUUAAUGUAUCAAGUUGGUCACUGAACUCAAAACGGUAUCAAGAUGGUCACUGAAGUGGCCAUAAAUAUCAAACAAGUACCUUGAAAUAUGAGUUCAAGCAGUAAAAAUAUUAUUUAUAAAGUUUUACACAUUAUUUUUUAAUGUUACCAAAACCAAGUAAAAUGUAAUGACUUCUAAUAUUUAUGAUAAAAAAAUUAGAUUUUAUCAAGAUUGUUUAUUAUUUAUUUUUAAUUAAAACAAAGAUAUAACUAUAUAAUAAAAUAUAAAUAAUAAAUAAACUUGAUAAAAUAUAAAUAUAUUAUUUUAAAUACUAGAAGUCAUAAACUUUUAGUUGGUUGUGAUAACAUUUAAAAAUAAUGUGUAAAACUUUAUAAAUAAUAUGUUUACUGCUUGAACUCAUAUUUCAAAGUACUUGUUUGAUAUUUAUGACCACUUCGGUGACCAUCUUGAUACCGUUUUAAGUUCAGUGACCAACUUGAUACAUUAAGCUCACUUCAGUGAGCAACUUGAUAAUUAACCCAUUAAUAAAUUAUAUAUAACUAGAACGAAAAGUCUCAAGAUCUUAAAAAUUAAAGAUAGUUCAUAAUCUUCGGUGUCAAAUAGGUCUUCAACAUCCAAUUUUUUACACUAAAAAUUACUUUAACAAUCUUGUCAAAGACAUAAAAUUGAAUUCAAUUAAAAAAAUAAGUAAUAACAAAUAAUGAACAAAUAUAUUCAUGAAUUUAAUUUCAUAUUCUCAUUCAUGUUUGUUUGCUACUUAAAUAGAUAAAUUUAAGGCCAUAAAUACAUUUAUUUAACAAACAAACAAUAUUUAUGUUUGUGUGCUCCUAAACAAUCCAAUUAGUUGAGGAUUUUAAAUUUAAUCUCAUAUUCUUAUUCAUAAAUUUAAUCUCAUAUAUAUUUAAAUAGCAAACAAAAAUUAAUAUAUUAUAGUUAAGGAGCAUACAAAUACAAUAAAACUAAAUGGACUAGGCUAAUAUAUGAUGCGAUGGAUAAAUUAUUACGUUCUCAUAUUUUCCAUCGGGUUGAGUUGGAUCGGUUUAUAAACCCUAAAUCCAUGUCCAACCUAACUAAAUCGGAUUAAUACUUUUCCAAUCCAAUUACUUAUUAGGUUAAAAAAUUUCGGAUUGAAUCAGAUGAAAUAUGUUCGGUUUUGAUCGGGUUGGUCGGUUUCACCCACCCGUACACACCCCUGCUUGACACACACAUAUGCGAGGGCAUGUUAAGUAGUUUUCGUAUGCUAACGAUCUGUGAAGUAGCUUACAGAAUUUUGACCUACGGACAUACAGGACAGCUGCAGAACGGCAAAAGGAGCAAUCAAGCAAAGAAUACUAGGAUGCACUAGGUUUUAAACGUCAUUGCUGCAUUAAAACAAACAUAUGUGGAAUGAUUUUGGUCAGAAUCCCUUGAAUGGUAAAAUACAGAGUGCCAUUAGUACAGAAAAAUCAAAACUGUGCAACACAGAAUAAUAAUUCUUACCUGAACUGUUGCAAGGACAAAGAGUGCAAUUCCAAUAUUUCGGUGACUGCUGUACUUGACCCGUUUAGAUUGACUCCCAAGUUUCAGGCCUGUUCCCCAACCAGCAACCCCAACAGCAUAAGCUGAUACCUGGCAGAACACAUGAAGAUAAAACCACGCAGGAUCUGCUGAUGGGAAAACGCUCAUAUACCUAGCAAUGAUGAUUCCGAGUGGAAAUAAUAUACCCCAACUCACAGCAUUAAGAACUCCAUGAAUCUGAAACAAAAGAAUGAGAUGUCUCUCAGAUACCUAUAAAUAACUUUAUUCCAGGAUAUGAUGUGUGAAAAGGCUAAAAAAGUGUUCAAGUUGAGAAACCUAACACAAAUAUCUGGUAAAAACUAAUCUUUGAUAAUAAUUAUCUAUUUCAUAAAAUCCUACUAGAUGAUACAAAUACACGAUCACUUAUAUCUUUAUAACAACAUAAAGAUUAUUAACAGUUUAUUCAGUUACUUCUUGCUCCGAAAAUAAUCCCGACAAUGGCAUUAAAACAAAAACUUUUAACUAAGCCUUAAGCUGAAACUAAUUCUUCGAUUCGUAGUUGGUAAAUAAACACAAAACUUUAUUUCUAGAAUCAGUUCUCUGAUUUCUUUGGACUAUAAUACCGAAAUAUAUAAAUAAUAUAUUUAUAUAUGAAUCCCUAAAAUAUUACUAAUAAAUUUAAUUUCCUUGACCACUGUGGCACUGUCCACACUCCCCAGAGCACAGUACAAAUUGAUAAGUUGAAGAUGCAAAUUUUCAGGUUGUGGACCAUCAGAAGAAGCUGAAGGGGUAGAGCAGCACAGACUUCAGAAAUUGUUGCUAUGCUAUCUGCCUAUCUGGUCUGGCAGAUACAGAAAAGAUUUCAGCUUUAAAUUCUUUAUCCCACAAAAAAUUUAACACUUCUCUCAAUUCAUUGACCAUACUCAUAGUACCAACAAAAAAGACAAACUUUUAGAAAAAAAAUCAAAAUUAUAGAGCCAUAGAAAGAAGAAAAGUGGAGAUGUAGAACAAUUCAGACAUUGUUGCUAUGCUGUCUUGUUCUG
This 4543-nucleotide long non-coding RNA is filed under the name Daucus carota (carrot). RNAcentral describes it as "long non-coding RNA (DCAR_LNC000873)". The record is from RNAcentral. Lineage: Eukaryota; Viridiplantae; Streptophyta; Magnoliopsida; Apiales; Apiaceae.